RNAcentral lists this ribosomal RNA (426 nucleotides) under uncultured Cellulomonadaceae bacterium. Its description in RNAcentral is "bacterial SSU rRNA". It matches the Rfam family "Bacterial small subunit ribosomal RNA", at positions 356 to 774 of the family's 1533-position model. The record is from RNAcentral. Lineage: Bacteria; Bacillati; Actinomycetota; Actinomycetes; Micrococcales; Cellulomonadaceae.
GGGGAAUAUUGGACAAUGGGCGCAAGCCUGAUCCAGCCAUGCCGCGUGAGUGAAGAAGGCCUUCGGGUUGUAAAGCUCUUUCGCAAGGGAAGAAAACGUGUGGGCUAAUAUCCUGCGCGGAUGACGGUACCUUGACAAGAAGCGCCGGCUAACUACGUGCCAGCAGCCGCGGUAAUACGUAGGGCGCAAGCGUUGUCCGGAAUUAUUGGGCGUAAAGAGCUCGUAGGCGGUUAGUCGCGUCUGCUGUGAAAACUCGAGGCUCAACCUCGGGCUUGCAGUGGGUACGGGCUGACUAGAGUGCGGUAGGGGUGACUGGAAUUCCUGGUGUAGCGGUGGAAUGCGCAGAUAUCAGGAGGAACACCGAUGGCGAAGGCAGGUCACUGGGCCGCAACUGACGCUGAGGAGCGAAAGCAUGGGGAGCGAACA